CCCUAUGGGGCGCGGGGGACGCUCUUCACCACCAAGACUGGGGAGAUUUCCAUCCGGCUGGAGUCGUUUGUGAUACUGGCCAAGGCGUUGCGUCCGCCGCCGGAGAAAUGGCACGGGCUGGCCGACACCGAAAUUCGCUACCGCCAGCGCUACCUCGACCUGAUCGCCAGCCCGGACGUGAAGCAGGUCUUCCUCAAGCGGAGCCAGAUCAUCCGGGAAAUGCGCGCUUUCCUCAAUGAGCGCGGCUACGUCGAGGUCGAGACGCCCAUGAUGCAGCCGAUUCCCGGCGGCGCGGCGGCCCAGCCGUUCAAGACGUAUCACAACGCCCUCGGGUGCGAUUUCUACCUCCGCAUCGCGCUGGAGCUGGCGCUGAAGCGGCUGCUGGUUGGCGGCAUAGACAAAGUAUUCGAGAUCGGGCGCAACUUCCGCAACGAGAGC
Molecule: ribosomal RNA, 438 nt
Filed under: uncultured prokaryote
Description: partial 16S ribosomal RNA
Source: RNAcentral